RNAcentral lists this ribosomal RNA (823 nucleotides) under uncultured Actinomycetes bacterium. RNAcentral's name for it is "bacterial SSU rRNA". It matches the Rfam family "Bacterial small subunit ribosomal RNA", at positions 530 to 1354 of the family's 1533-position model. Lineage: Bacteria; Bacillati; Actinomycetota; Actinomycetes. The record is from RNAcentral.
GGGUGCGAGCGUAUUCGGAUUUAUUGGGCGUAAAGAGCUCGUAGGCGGUUCGACAAGUCGGGUGUUAAACCCCCAGGCUCAACCUGGGGCCGCCACCCGAAACUGUUGUGACUAGAGUUUGGUAGGGGACCACGGAAUUCCUGGUGUAGCGGUGGAAUGCGCAGAUAUCAGGAGGAACACCAGUAGCGAAGGCGGUGAUCUGGGCCAAUACUGACGCUGAGGAGCGAAAGCGUGGGGAGCGAACAGGAUUAGAUACCCUGGUAGUCCACGCCGUAAACGGUGGGCACUAGGUGUGGGGACUUUUCAACGGUUUCCGCGCCGCAGCUAACGCAUUAAGUGCCCCGCCUGGGGAGUACGGUCGCAAGACUAAAACUCAAAGAAAUUGACGGGGGCCCGCACAAGCAGCGGAGCAUGUGGCUUAAUUCGAUGCAACGCGAAAAACCUUACCUAGAUUUGACAUGCUGGGAAAAGCCACAGAGAUGUGGUGUCCUUCGGGGCCCAGCACAGGUGGUGCAUGGCUGUCGUCAGCUCGUGUCGUGAGAUGUUGGGUUAAGUCCCGCAACGAGCGCAACCCUUGUUCUGUGUUGCCAGCACGUAAUGGUGGGGACUCGUAGAAGACCGCCGGGGUCAACUCGGAGGAAGGUGGGGACGACGUCAAGUCAUCAUGCCCCUUACGUCUAGGGCUGCACACAUGCUACAAUGGGCGGUACAGAGGGCUGCUAAACCGCGAGGUGGAGCCAAUCCCUAAAACCGCUCUCAGUUCAGAUUGCAGGCUGCAACUCGCCUGCAUGAAGUUGGAGUUGCUAGUAAUCCCGGAUCAGCA